This 585-nucleotide ribosomal RNA is filed under the name uncultured bacterium. Its description in RNAcentral is "partial 16S ribosomal RNA". It matches the Rfam family "Bacterial small subunit ribosomal RNA", at positions 355 to 1375 of the family's 1533-position model. The record is from RNAcentral.
UGGGGAAUUUUGGACAAUGGGCGAAAGCCUGAUCCAGCAAUGCCGCGUGUGUGAAGAAGGCCUUCGGGUUGUAAAGCACUUUUGUCCGGAAAGAAAUCCUUGGCUCUAAUACAGUCGGGGGAUGACGGUACCGGAAGAAUAAGCACCGGCUAACUACGUGCCAGCAGCCGCGGUAAUACGUAGGGUGCAAGCGUUAAUCGGAAUUACUGGGCGUAAAGCGUGCGCAGGCGGUUUGCUAAGACCGAUGUGAAAUCCCCGGGCUCAACCUGGGAACUGCAUUGGUGACUGGCAGGCUAGAGUAUGGCAGAGGGGGGUAGAAUUCCACGUGUAGCAGUGAAAUGCGUAGAGAUGUGGAGGAAUACCGAUGGCGAAGGCAGCCCCCUGGGCCAAUACUGACGCUCAUGCACGAAAGCGUGGGGAGCAAACAGGAUUAGAUACCCUGGUAGUCCACGCCCUAAACGAUGUCAACUAGUUGUUGGGGAUUCAUUUCCUUAGUAACGUAGCUAACGCGUGAAGUUGACCGGCUGGGGAGUACGGUCGCAAGAUUAAAACUUAAAUGAAUUGACGGGGUCAUAGCUGUUUCCU